GCGGAGACCACCCGGAGGGCGAACGGUGGCGGAGGCGGGGACUGGGCGGACUGCAGACGCCCAGCCCCGAGAUUCAAGGGUCACAUAGCAGGCUGAGCAUCUAGCAAUGUAUUUACUGCUUUGGGAGUAAACAGAAGUAAAAGAAACCUUGAAUAACAAAAACAAAGAAAACUUGAACGGAAGCCAAGCUGUCCUUUUACCUAUUCUCAAAGUUAGACCUGACAAACCGCCCUGUAUGAUUGCUACUGCUAAUACCGUUACUAAAAGACACUGUUAGAAAGUUUCUCAACAUCCUGCCACCAAUAUCUGCAAACUUA
RNAcentral lists this long non-coding RNA (317 nucleotides) under Capra hircus (goat). RNAcentral describes it as "lncRNA (ENSCHIG00010007703.1)". The record is from RNAcentral. Lineage: Eukaryota; Metazoa; Chordata; Mammalia; Artiodactyla; Bovidae.